GUGAAGUCGCUCAGUCAUGGCCGAUUCUUCGCGACCCCAUGGACUGCAGCCUACCAGGCUCCUCUGCCCAUGGGAUUUUCCAGGCAAGAGUACUGGAGUGGAGUUGCUUUAAGUUCUAAAUUAAAAGUCGCCCUGACUUUUGGGGUCUCACGGCAUCCCGUGAGGCUGCUGUUAUAGAAAAUAUACAAGGAACAUAGCACCACCCCUCACCUCUUGGGUGACUGACUUCUCCAGUUUUGUCCAGACCAAGGAGUUUCUUCGGAUGUGGGACUUUCAGUCUUAAAACAUGGAACUUCCCAGGCAAACUUGGAUGCAUCAGUCACUGUGCUUAUCACAAAAAUGAUCUACAGAAACUUGACCACAAUAUUCUAUUGUGUCUCUGGAAAUAUAGUCAGUAAUCCAUUUGGUUUGUUUUUUGUAGGAAGCCCCAGGCAAUCUUUGGAUUCCCUAAUGCUUUUCCUUCCAGUUGUUGGCACACGUGGCAGAGUUCAUGCUUACCUAGAGACAGCUACAGACACCAGAUCUGUGACUGUGUCAGUAGAGCUUAUGCAAUGCACAGUGUUAAGAUUUUUAUCUGUAACCCUUGACUGACUUUAUCCCCUAAACAGAAAUCUGAGCUCAAGACUAAUCCUCUCUAACUCUGUUAUUAAGAUGAAAUGUGAAAAUACAGUUAAUUAAAUCAUUCUUAUAAUUAGCUACAACCACCACAGAAAAAGUCGUGUUGUGUAUCUCUUGUAUCAUGAUAAAAAUUGGAACGUGAUAAAGCAUUUGUGUAUUGUGGUCUUGGAUGUUUUACUUCAGAGCUAUUAAAAUGUUCUGAAUGGCUAUUGAGCACUUGGGCUAGUGAGACUGAGGAACUGAAUUUUUUAUUUUUAAAUCUUAUUUAAGUUGUGUGAACUAGUGGCUACCCUGGACAAUAUAUAAGAGCCAGUUCAUAGGCUUCUGCACAGGCUGGAAAUAGUGAAAAUAUUUUUGGAACACAGAAAUUUCCAUUUCAGUGGCUGUAGCCUUCAAACUAGAGCAUACUUACUAGUAAUAGCACAGUUUAUUUAUGAAAAUAAAUGUUUGGCCUCCUGAAAUUAAGUCAAAUAAAGAACUAUUUCUGCCUUUGCUAAUGUAAUCUCUCUGUGAUCAGCUUCAAAAACCUAUGUGAAGUAAUUAAGAAAUAAACAUUUUAUUUUCCAACUCCA
Cervus elaphus (red deer) is the source of this 1190-nucleotide long non-coding RNA. RefSeq lists it as uncharacterized. The record is from RefSeq and is a predicted model, not a curated record. NCBI's taxonomy places the organism in Eukaryota, Metazoa, Chordata, Mammalia, Artiodactyla, Cervidae. The transcript is spliced from 2 exons.